Molecule: ribosomal RNA, 254 nt
Filed under: uncultured bacterium
Lineage: Bacteria
Description: partial 16S ribosomal RNA
Rfam family: Bacterial small subunit ribosomal RNA
Source: RNAcentral
GACGUAGGGCGCGAGCGUUGUCCGGAUUUAUUGGGCGUAAAGAGCUCGUAGGCGGCUUGUCGCGUCGACUGUGAAAACCCGUGGCUCAACCAUGUGGUCUGCAGUCGAUACGGGCAGGCUAGAAUUCGGUAGGGGAGACUGGAAUUCCUGGUGUAGCGGUGAAAUGCGCAGAUAUCAUUUGGAACGCCAAUGGUGAAAACAGCUCGCUGGGGGUUUGCUGACGCUGAGACACGAAAGCCAGGGGAGCAAACGGG